This 600-nucleotide ribosomal RNA is filed under the name uncultured bacterium. Its description in RNAcentral is "bacterial SSU rRNA". It matches the Rfam family "Bacterial small subunit ribosomal RNA", at positions 97 to 710 of the family's 1533-position model. The record is from RNAcentral.
GGCGAACGGGUGAGUAUGUUCGGAACGUAUCCAUAGUGGGGGACACUACGAAAGUUAGGCUAAUACCGCAUACGAUCGAGAGAUGAAGUGGGGGACCGCAAGGCCUCACGCUUUAGAGCGGCCGAUAUCCGAUUACUUGUUGGUGAGUAAAGGCUUACCAAGGCUAUGAUCGGUACUGGUCUGAAGGAUGAUCACCACACUGGGACUGAACACGGCCCAACUCCUACGGGAGGCAGCAGUGGGGAAUUUUGGACAAUGGGGGCAACCCUGAUCCAGCCAUUCCGCGUGAGUGAAGAAGGCCUUCGGGUUGUAAAGCUCUUUUGUCGGGGACGAAACGGUUUCACCUAAUAUGUGGGACUACUGACGGUACCCGAAGAAUAAGCACCGGCUAACUACGUGCCAGCAGCCGCGGUAAUACGUAGGUGCGAGCGUUAAUCGGAAUUACUGGGCGUAAAGCGUGCGCAGGCGGUUGUGUAAGCCAGAUGUGAAAUCCCCGGGCUCAACCUGGGAAUGGCAUUUGGGACUGCACGGCUGGAGUAUGGCAGAGGGGACUAAAUUCCUGGUGUACAGUUGAAAUUGCGUAAUUUCAGAGGGAAUACC